This is a non-coding RNA of Callorhinus ursinus (northern fur seal), 538 nucleotides long. NCBI's taxonomy places the organism in Eukaryota, Metazoa, Chordata, Mammalia, Carnivora, Otariidae. The record is from RefSeq and is a predicted model, not a curated record.
CUGCUAGCCAUAGUUUUCUGCUUAAUAACAGUCUCCAUUAUUACAAACAGCUGUGACAAACUAGUUGAAGUAACUUUAAUUUGUAAAAUUUUGGGAAGUAAAUCAUUCCAGUAAAAAUUUAAGGUGAAUAUGGACAGAAUUUGUUGGUCGGGUGUACAAAUAACUUAGUUUGUAUUAUCAAGGAACAGAUUGCUAAACAGUUUGCAGGUGGUAACUUUAGAAUUUAAAAUGUAUUGUUAUGUAUUCAGUAUGUAAAUGAAAUUUCUUAACAUUCAUAAAUUGUCACAACAUGAUAUUAUAUAAUCAUAUAUACAUUAAUCAGAGUAUUCUUGUUAUUUUAUCAUUCUUUAGUCCUGAGACUCUGAAGAAGAGCAAAGGAUUACCUAGAUAUAAAGCAUUUGUGUGCUAAGCUGUUUUUAAAAUGUUAAUCUUAGAUUGGCAAUUGUAGCCCUAAUAAGAGUUCUUAAGUUCAUGUCUGUCAGCUGAAACAGCAAGAAGUAAGGAUGUAGAAGACUAACUGCAACUCCAGCCUGCGGCA